This 328-nucleotide ribosomal RNA is filed under the name uncultured eukaryote. RNAcentral's name for it is "partial 18S ribosomal RNA". It matches the Rfam family "Eukaryotic small subunit ribosomal RNA", at positions 1470 to 1796 of the family's 1831-position model. The record is from RNAcentral.
CCCUUAGAUGUUCUGGGCUGCACGCGCGCUACACUGAUACUUUCAGCGAGUCCACCACCUUGUCUGAGAGGGUGGGGUAACCUCUGGAAAGUGUAUCGUGAUGGGGAUCGAUUAUUGUAAUUAUUAAUCUUCAACGAGGAAUUCCUAGUAAGCAUGUGUCAUCAGCCCGUGCUGAUUACGUCCCUGCCCUUUGUACACACCGCCCGUCACUCCUACCGAUUGAGUGGUCCGGUGAGGCUUUGGGAUCUGAGCGGAAAGAGCGUUUCGCUGUUUCUGCCCGGAAAACUCAGUCGAACCUUAUCAUUUAGAGGAAGGAGAAGUCGUAACA